RNAcentral lists this ribosomal RNA (108 nucleotides) under Acanthochromis polyacanthus (spiny chromis). Lineage: Eukaryota; Metazoa; Chordata; Actinopteri; Pomacentridae. The record is from RNAcentral.
AUUUAUGGCUGUACCAGCCUGAAUACGCCUGAUCUUGGAAGCUAAGCACUUUGGUGGAGGUUAGUAUGUGGAUGGGAGACUGACUGGGAAUACCAGGGGCUGUAAACU